AUUUUUAGCCGGAUAUGGUGGUUUUGGCGGAGGCAGAUGCAAUCCUGGAACCUUUUUUCUCUGUUCUGGCGUGGCUAUCUGAUCCCAACGCACGGCACGACACCGGUUUCCUGUUUAAAUAACCCCUCCCCCAUUUGUAUCUUGCUUCCCCUGGGCAGAGCACCACACCCCUCCUCUGUCCCUGCCACCCCCAUUAGGAGUGCCCUCCUCCCCUCCUCCCCUCCUCCUCCGUGCAGUGAUCGCUCUUGAAGCCAGGGAAGAAGCCGAAAGGAGCGAUCUUGUUUAGUAUUUUGCUGUCAAAAUCGGAUUUUUUAGCUUCAGGUCGUGGAGGAUCUUUUUAUUUGUUUCCUUUUUUGCCUUUGGUGAUGGCUUGGUGAGUGAGGAGAAAUGACUUCGGUGAUUGUUCUGAUGGAGACUGCGUCUACAGACAUGAUCUGCUUUCGUUUUUGUUCUGAAGCAAUCUUGGAGAUUUGAUCUUUCCACUCCAUUGAGGUUGAAGAGAAGAGAAUCUAACAGCCAGGAGUGAGCAAAGGAGCAAGAUAGUAUGCUGAGGAGGAGAUCGAAGGCAGUUGGUGGCAAACAGGGCUUGAUGUCUGAUCCCUACUCCCUCUCAUCUUCCUCUGGUAACAGCCACAAUAAGCCCACAGCUUCCUCCCUCUUCCCCUCUCCAAGUCUCUUCCGGAGCUUCUCUUCGAAGAGCUUCUCAGACCAUGAGGCGGCCAUGAUGAGCCCGACCUCCAUACUCGAAACUAAGCACUUGUCUUCCUUCGGCAACCUCUUACACUCCGAAACGCUGCCAAAGAAUCCUCCUUUGGAGAAUGCUUCAGCUGCCGCGACUGACACUGUUACAGAGAGCAAACACCACCCUUGGGACAGCAGCGGACAAGAGCCCAUCGGCCUCGGUAUCGUUGACGCUCUCACCGAUGACAAAGCCAUGCAGUCCUCCAAUCCGCAGCGUCGAAUGGUUCUGUUUGGAUCGCAGUUAAAGAUCCAAAUCCCGUCCGUGUGCUCGAGCUCCGGUUCGCCGCCGGCCAGGUCCAUGGAGUUGCCCAGUUCCCCAAUCGAAUUCGGCAUCAAGAACAAGGAUUCCCAGUUGGCUCUCUUCUCCCCCGUACUCAGAUCCCUGGGCCACGAAGCGCCCGCCGCCUCCUCUUCCCCAUGGGCUUUCACCACCGGGAGCAUCUCCGUGAGCGAGAUGGAGCUCUCGGAGGACUACACCUGCGUGAUCUCCCACGGGCCGAAUCCGAAGACCACGCACAUCUUCGACAAUUGCAUUGUGGAGAGCUGCGGCGACGAAUUCACCGCUGUGAUGGAGAGUAGUCCUCUUCCAAGCCAUGAAGGCUGCUCUGCGGAUGACUUCCUCUGCUGUGCAUGCAAGAAGAAUCUUGGAGAAGAAAUGGAUAUCCCUGUGAAUAGGUUCUUGUGGUCAUGUUUAGGGUCUUCUAGCUUGAGAAUUCAUAGCUGCAAUCGCCAACCUGAUCAAACUCGGAAUACUUUUCUGCAUGAUGCCACUAUUUUACAGAAUUCGUUGAUGAAUCUAUUCGAUCAACUUCUGUGCAAGAAAUCGCAAUGUCGUUUGCCUACUGAACGUGACGUUUUGAUUCCUUGUCACUUUCAUAACCAAGAUCAGACACCAGUGCUUAAUUUCGUAGAAAUGUGGCUUCUGUCCAAAGCUGUACACGCCUGGGGUCGCCAUGUCUCCUGUGGUUGCUGUUGGGGUCCCCCAAUUCCUCUUUAGAGGUUACCUUCACCAUCAAUUAAAAGCUCUCAGCAGUCAAUUCAGGAUAUGAUAAGCUUCAACCUCUGUGUUUUGGCAUAGAAAGUGACCUAACCAUGGCUGUGCUUUUCUUACUGGACCAUUUCAACCACUGAUGCAUAAAAUGUCUCCUUGAUGUGUGAUGGAGUGUCAAAGCCAUGAGAAGCACGUCAAUGAAGAGUUGGAAAAGCAGUAGUUGAUUCAUCACCAACAAUUUAGCACAAGCAUCUCUUCACCUUGUUUGCAGACGAUGGCGACGAUGAUUGAGCAUGCCUUGUUUCUUGUUAAUUGAAUUUGAUUGCCAUGGAUUGAUGUCAAAAAAUGAUGGAAAAUGAUCAGAAAAAGGUCCUUGUGGGGUGUUCUUUUUGUUGUUUUAGGCUGCUGAGGGCUUGUGUCACAGCCUUUUUUCCUUGGAUGAGAGAGUGAUGUCAAUGUAAAACUAGGAAACCUGAUCAAUCUUAUGUGCAUCUGUCUCCUUUUUGGCUCAUAAUUGUCAAGUUGUUGCUUCCA
Molecule: RNA transcript, 2266 nt
Organism: Musa acuminata AAA Group (dessert banana)
Lineage: Eukaryota; Viridiplantae; Streptophyta; Magnoliopsida; Zingiberales; Musaceae
Gene name: FCS-Like Zinc finger 8
Exons: 4
Source: RefSeq, a predicted model, not a curated record